AAGAAAAGUUAUGGCCAUUUGACAUCUACGAGCGCGAAUCUCCAAUGUCCGACUGCUCAGAAUGCAGCACGAGAUGACGUCAGAGCAAGAGACGCUUCGUUUGGAAAACUGAGUGGCGCGAAGCGAAGAGCAGGAGUCGCGAGGAAAGGAGACACGGGAGGAAAGAGACGUAUCCAUGUCCAGGUGUGAGGUGCCAGUGCAGCCAAAGCAAGAGAGUUUCCCUGAGUCCCUCCAGGAGCAGGAGAAUCUUCUGCAGCCACUGGUACAAAUCUCACCUGGUUAGAAGACUCGCAGUCCAAACAUGCAGCGCACUGUUUUGCUUGUAGGCAUUUUUCCCUCCCGAUGCUCCAAGGACUGUUUUCGUCUCAUUCAAGGGUUAU
Molecule: long non-coding RNA, 380 nt
Filed under: Sparus aurata (gilthead seabream)
Lineage: Eukaryota; Metazoa; Chordata; Actinopteri; Spariformes; Sparidae
Description: lncRNA (ENSSAUG00010007256.1)
Source: RNAcentral